This 497-nucleotide ribosomal RNA is filed under the name uncultured bacterium. Its description in RNAcentral is "partial 16S ribosomal RNA". It matches the Rfam family "Bacterial small subunit ribosomal RNA", at positions 28 to 507 of the family's 1533-position model. The record is from RNAcentral.
GAUGAACGCUGGCGGCGUGCCUAAUACAUGCAAGUCGAGCGAACAGACGAGGAGCUUGCUCCUCUGACGUUAGCGGCGGACGGGUGAGUAACACGGGGAUAACCUACCUAUAAGACUGGGAUAACUUCGGGAAACCGGAGCUAAUACCGGGUAAUAUAUUGAACAGAACGGUUCAAUAAUGAAAGACGGUUUUGCUGUCGCUUAUACAUGGAUCCGCGCCGCAUUAGCUAAUUGGUAAGGUAACGGCUUACCAAGGCAACGAUGCGUAGCCGACCUGAGAGGGUGAACGGCCACACUGGAAGUGAGACACGGUGCACACUCCUAAGGGAGGCAGCAGUAGGGAAUCCUCCGCAAUGGGGGAAAGCCUGACGUAGCAAAGCCGCGUGAGUGAUGAAGGUCUUAGGCUGGUAAAACUAUGUUAUUAGGGAAGAAGAAAUGUGUAAGUAAAUAUGAACGUCUUGACGGUACCUAAUCAGAAAGCCACGGCUAACUACGUG